CCUACGGGAGGCAGCAGUGGGGAAUAUUGCACAAUGGGGGAAACCCUGAUGCAGCGACGCCGCGUGAGUGAAGAAGUACUUCGUUAUGUAAAGCUCUAUCAGCAGGGAAGAAAAUGACGGUACCUGAGUAAGAAGCCCCGGCUAACUACGUGCCAGCAGCCACGGUAAUACGUAGGGGGCGAGCGUUAUCCGGAUUUACUGGGUGUAACGGGAGCGUAGACGGCAGUGCAAGUCUGGAGUGAAAGGCGGGGGCUCAACCCCCGGACUGCUCUGGAAACUGUACGGCUGGAGUGCAGGAGAGGUAAGUAGAAUUCCUAGUGUAGCGGUGAAAUGCGUAGAUAUUAGGAGGAACACCAGUGGCGAAGGCGGCUUACUGGACUGUAACUGACGUUGAGGCUCGAAAGCGUGGGGAGCAAACAGGAUUAGAUACCCUAGUAGUC
Molecule: ribosomal RNA, 440 nt
Filed under: uncultured bacterium
Lineage: Bacteria
Description: partial 16S ribosomal RNA
Rfam family: Bacterial small subunit ribosomal RNA
Source: RNAcentral